UUGCCAGACUCCUACGGGAGGCAGCAGUGGGGGAUAUUGCACAAUGGGGGGAACCCUGAUGCAGCGACGCCGCGUGGGCGAUGGAGCGCCUCGGCGCGUAAAGCCCUAUCAGCAGGGAAGAAGAUGACGGUACCUGACUAAGAAGCCCCGGCUAAAUACGUGCCAGCAGCCGCGGUAAUACGUAUGGUGCAAGCGUUAUCCGGAAUGACUGGGUGUAAAGGGAGCGUAGACGGUUGUACAAGUCUGAUGUGAAAGCCCACGGCUCAACUGUGGGAGUGCAUUGGAAACUGUAGAACUAGAGUAUCGGAGAGGCAAGUGGAAUUCCUAGUGUAGCGGUGAAAUGCGUAGAUAUUAGGAGGAACACCAGUGGCGAAGGCGGCUUGCUGGACGAAAACUGACGUCGAGGCUCGAAAGCGUGGGGAGCAAACAGGAUUAGAUACCCCAGUAUCC
RNAcentral lists this ribosomal RNA (450 nucleotides) under uncultured bacterium. Its description in RNAcentral is "bacterial SSU rRNA". It matches the Rfam family "Bacterial small subunit ribosomal RNA", at positions 328 to 795 of the family's 1533-position model. The record is from RNAcentral.